RNAcentral lists this ribosomal RNA (231 nucleotides) under uncultured bacterium. Its description in RNAcentral is "partial 16S ribosomal RNA". It matches the Rfam family "Bacterial small subunit ribosomal RNA", at positions 15 to 238 of the family's 1533-position model. The record is from RNAcentral.
GAUCAUGGCUCAGGACGAACGCUGGCGGCGUGCCUAAUACAUGCAAGUAGAACGCUGAAGGAGGAGCUUGCUUCUCCGGAUGAGUUGCGAACGGGUGAGUAACGCGUAGGUAACCUGCCUGGUAGCGGGGGAUAACUAUUGGAAACGAUAGCUAAUACCGCAUAACAGUAGAUAUUGCAUGAUAUUUACUUGAAAGGUGCAAUUGCAUCACUACCAGAUGGACCUGCGUUG